RNAcentral lists this transfer RNA (73 nucleotides) under Heliconius melpomene (postman butterfly). RNAcentral's name for it is "tRNA HMEL012831". The record is from RNAcentral. Lineage: Eukaryota; Metazoa; Arthropoda; Insecta; Lepidoptera; Nymphalidae.
CCAGUUAUGGCGCAGGCGGUAUAGCGUGCGACUGUAACACGAGAGGCUGUGAGUUCGAUUCCCACUUGAGGAA